Molecule: long non-coding RNA, 9016 nt
Organism: Gallus gallus (chicken)
Lineage: Eukaryota; Metazoa; Chordata; Aves; Galliformes; Phasianidae
Source: Ensembl
UUCAUGCCCGAACUGCCAUGCCAGGACUCACCUCGGGAGGUUGGUUUAGUGGGAGUAGAUCUCUCCUGCAGCUCAGGGCUCAUCCUUCACUUGGAGGACUCCCUGUGAGGCUCCAGACCAUAGAGCUUGGCCUCUGGCUUCAUGCAAGCCACCAUUCUGCAAUGUCCGGCUGGAGAAGAGAUGCAGGAAGGAAGGGAGAACUGUCUUUAAAAGCAGUAAGGGACACACCAUGACACCUCCUCAACAUCUGCAGGGAGAUGAAACUAGAUGGACUAGACGGCCUUCAGAGGUCCCUUCCAACUCUAAGGAUUCUAUGAAACACACAACCAUCUCCAAACCAUCACGCUCAUUACACUUCACACAUGCUGCCAGAGCUGAGGAGGUUAAGGAAUUCCCAGCUGUGUGAGCCCACGAGAGCCCAACAGUACACCAUCCAAGGUCACAGAAUCACACAAUGGUUUGGGUUGGAAGGAACCUUAAGGGCCAUCUAGUUUCAACCCACCCUCCAUGGGCAGGGCUGUCAAACACUAGAUCAGGCUGCCUAGGACUCCUGAUGGAGAAGAUCCCAAAAGAUCACAGCCUUGCCUUUCAGCAGAAAUACCAUUUCCCUGUGGGCUCCUGCAGGUGGGCUCCUCCAGAGCACUGCCCAGUGCAGUGGAUAAUUAACAGGUGCUUCUGGAGUGCAAGAUACAACUGCCACAGGGCUUCCUGCAGCUCUAGCAGCACUGAGCCCCACUUAGUUAAAUCUCUCUUACUUCCUACGGUAUGAAUCAAUCCCACCAUCUCUCCUCUCCACACAUCUCAUCGCUCACAGGAUGCAAAGAAGAAUCCUGGAGAGCCCAUUAAAAGCCACUCGACUGGAAAAUAGUUUCUGGCCUAAUUCUAGCACCAGGGUCUUAGCUGGGGAGAGAAAUCUGACAGCAAGAGCGCGCCUGUGGGGAGGAGAAGGCAUAGCUGUUAACUACUUCACCAAUCUAAUGUAUAGCACUCUCCAAGAGCAAUUAAUAAUUAAUAUUCGUAGCCUGCUUAAAUCUGUUGACUCCGUAAACCACAGCCUCUCACUUAAAGGACUCUUGGAAUGCUGAGACAAACUGAAGAACAUCCCCCAUGGAGAGACUCCGCAUAAACAGCUCCUCAGCCCUAGUUUUAAUCCCUCUGCUUCUCUUUAGAGGGAUUCUGCUUCUCUUCUCUUUAUCUUGUUUAAUUAAGGAUAAUUUCCUAGGAACAGCUCUUACAGAGGUGGAUGGAAAGUCCAGCGUGACAGGAGCUGGGUCUCUGCUCCCUGCGAUGCUAUACCAGUGCUAUAACGGGAGUAGUAAGGCACUGGGUUGGUACAGGAUGCUGAAGUCACUAAGUCCAAUGCCCCUCAAAGGAUACGUUCAGAUGUUCCCAGGCCACACACACAUAGCAGAGCAAAGCUUUGCAGGACAACAGGGGAAGCUCUGUAGCACUGGUUACCCUACAGAUGGACAAACGCUGCCGACAGAUGGUAGUCUUGUCUCCUUUCAGGCACCUGGGAUUAUCAGCCAAGGUAGAUUAUCAGAUUUAAGGGUUUGUAAAUAGAUUUAUCAGAUUCUGGAGUUGGGCUUAUUGCCUCAAAGAUGAGCGAGCACUUUCUGAAGACCAAAAUGAAUCACUAGAGCAUUGCAGCUCAAUUUGCAGAAGCUCCAAGCCUACCGAAGCUCCAGCUUUUGCCCUCUUUUACAAUGGCCAAGCAAUUCCAGUGGAGAACACUGAAGCUCUGCCCACGUCCCUCGGUAAUGGCUGACUCAUAUUAAGAUGAAAGAAAGGCCACUAGCCCUCCCUUAUUAUUCCAUAGUAAAUGUUCAGCACAGCUCCAUGCCUGCUCUCCACCAGCACCCAGACUCACUGCAAAUCCUGUACCACAAUGGGAGAUCACAGACAUGCAAAGUAAAUGCACGGAACUGGAAAGGUUAAAGGCAGCAAACCUCCAUUCACCGCCACCAUUCCAAAGAAUCCUCCCUCCUAUGCCAUUACCCCUAAUCCAGUUUGUCCUCAUUCAUAGCUGCAAAUGUAAAGCAGUUUCUCCAGCUCUCACCAUUGUCACCAUCUUAAUCUGAGUUUCAGCCACCAAAAGAUGCCUGAUGUCUAGGCACAAGGUCGCAGUACCUGUGAGGUCAGGGUCGUAUCAGCUCACAGCGUAGGGCUGCAUAUCAGCAGCAUGCUGAUGAAACCAGGCUACAAGGCUUAGUAAGCUGCUACAGGAAACACACACUGCAAGGCAGAGAGGAGGAAUGGAGUAGAACAGGUUUUCUUGAUGGGAACCAUAAGUACUGAGGAUCUGAUUGCCUUCUAUAGAUGUCCCAAACCAGAAGAGUGCUAUGAUUCCGGCCAAGAAUUAGGCACCUUUCUGAAUCUGGGCUAUCCGAUCACCCAGAUUGCCCUAAUUUUGUCUCAGGGGCUGAGCUGAAGCAGAGUUCACCUUUUCUUUUGACUAGACACAAGACUUGGAGAUCUUACUAUCUUUUACAUAUUACAUGUUGGGGUAAUUGAAUAUACAGACAUACGACGUGUGCUGUCGCAGAUUUGGGUCUUUCCUUGUAUGUGUGUCUUAUUUGCUCUCUUGUAACCCAAGUUUGGUAAAACACGAAAAGUUCUUCUUUCAUUACAAGCAACAUCAUCCUCUUAUCUGUAUUAUGAAUUAUAUUUAAUCACUGCCACGGUUUAAUCUGGUGAUGUUUUUCUAAGAUACACAAAAGUUUAAAUCAGUAAGUCACACAUGUAAUUUUCUACCUUAUUUUCCACAUAAACUCUACUAUUUAGUUUAAUCAGCAUUCAACAAAUACAAUUCUAUUGAAAAUUGUUUUUCUUUCAGAAGUAGAACCGAGAAAGGCCUGCUAGCUAGCAUUUAAGUGAGAUAUCAGGGAACAGUUAUACCACUCUCUUUGAAUUAAUAAUUUGUAUUUAGAAAGGAGGAAAAAAAAAUGCCUAUAUUUUUCCCUUGCUUGCUAUAUAAGCUAAGGACAACCAGUGUGAUUCCUUGGUUAACCUGGCAGUACGGAACCAAGCCUCAUCAGGACGAACCAUGGAAGAAUGUCACAGUUCCAAACAUCAGCACGUGGGGGAAAACAAACAAACCUUUCUUCCUAUUUGCCUCCGUGUUUGUGCAUAUUGUCUUUACACACUAAGCAAAUCAGAUCUUUCCUCUGGGGUCUCACAGUGAGUUAGAUAACCAACAGCUCUGGUUCCCCCAAGUAUAAUAAAAUACUUUUUUUUUCCUUUUUACCAAAAUGAGAACAAACCACAGUCUGACUUUGUAUGAAACACAUUAUUCCAAAUCAAACUGCUUCGUGUGGUCACCAGGUACCUGUAAAUAUUUUUGGUAGAUUUCAAGAAAAGGAUACACGUGACUUGAAAUCUGAAGUUCUCCAUUUUCGUUGGAACAUGAACUGGAAGGCUUCUGGAUUACAAAUCUCCUUCCUCUUCCCUCCUCUGAAAUGGGCAAAACCUAAAAGAAUUUCUGAACGUUUCAGGGUUGCUAGAUUUUGGGAGGCAGCCCACAGCAGUACCGUCAUUGAAAGACAACCCACCCAGCUUGCCUAUUUUCAGUUUAUGAAAGGAAACCUGGCGGGUCCAUAAUAUCUGCCAGGGCUUCCAACUGCUAAUGGGAGAGGUGCCAGGAGCUCUCUUGAGCAGGCAGUGGAAUUGCAGAUUGCUGGACUCACCUUACAGCAGCUGAGUGCUGUCGGCUUAAUUCCAACCUUUUCUCCUUCAUCUGCAACCUCCAUUGUAAGAUCGAUAGCAUCUCUUCACAUCCAAGCAACACAUUCUUACAGGAAGAGUUACUGGAUCCUAGCAGCAGGAGCAGACCUAAGAUACACCAAAUACACAAGGAACACGGGCAAAUGGCUGCCUUUACUCUCGUUCCUACUAAUGUUGCCAUUAACAGAUUCCCAGUGCUCACUGCUGCGAAUCCUGACACCCACCAGCACUCCCUCAAAGCAAUUCUUCUUCAUGAAAUCUCUGCUUCCCCUCCGCCCGCUCAGGUUCAAACCUACUGAGAACAAUAUUCCCCUGGAAGAAAGAUGGAGUAGGCAAGGUUGGAGAGCAUGAGACUCCUUCUGAAAGCAGGCCCACAGCCGGCAACUCUGGACAACAACAUCCAUUUUGCUAAUGACUGGAAUAAUGAUGGCAUUCUUGUUAGUAACUGUGGAGAUAACAAGGCAAACACUAGUCGUAAUUAUUGUAAAAUGUGCAGAAGGCAAUUUGGAAUAAUAAAUGUUUCAAAUGCAGAGAGCACACGCGCACACAAAAGAGCCCGUCGUUAGCUGGAGCUCUCCGUCUGUGCCAUACAAGGGCCCUCUUGAUUGCAUUGUUUGGAGGAACAUGCCAUGCAGUUGGCUUGGAUUCAAGAACGCCGUGUCCCUCUGCCCCAACAAGACAGCAUCCUUCUGCACCAACACAGCCAUGGCCCACUGCCCAGCAAGACUACAUCCCACUGCCCCUGCAAGGCCAUGUCCCACUGCCCCAGCAAGGACAUGUCCCACUGCCCCAACAAGGUUGCAUCCCCCUGCCCCACUAAGACUACAUCCCACUGCUCCAUCAUGGUAAGCAACUUAUGCAUGCUCCUCUGCUUACUGAACCGCAAGAACUCCUUCUGGAUUCCUGGCUGAAACAAAAAAAAAUCAAAGCUGAGUCAAGGCCCUUGGGAGGGGAGGAAGAAAUUAAUACCCACAGCAACAACAAGCACUGGGUUGAAGUGCUCCAGCAUUUCCACAGGGCUGUGCUGGCAGUGGUCCUUGACAGCUGCAGCCACCACCUUGCAUGCCCUCCAAGUCUGUUGUUGCAUGAGGACAUUUCUUUGCAGUGGUCUCCCCUCGCCGUAACACAAGCUGGCAUUUGAGGUGCAACAUGACUCAUGGGCAGCAGUGAGAGAGGAGAGGCAGGAAAAACAGCCAGAGGAGAAGGGUGGGGUGAGGAGUCCAAAGGAUGAGCAAAGGAGAGGAGGAAAGCCAAGGAGAAGAAAAGGGCGCCCCAGAGACUCUUGUUCGAAAAGCUGAAGAAUCUCUGCCAAAGCAAACAGUUGGACAUGUAGGGCUCUACACGUCUCUGGUUAAUUUUGACCAUCUGGCAUUUACUGAAAUUGUCUCCCUUUGUGUUUUCCACGAUGAAGUGGUUUUGUAUUCCCGCCUUCUCUCCUUUGAUUCAACAUGUAGCUUCUGUCCUGCCUUCCAGCUCUCUCCUCCCUACAGUAACUGUUGAGCAAAGAACAUGAGUGUGGGAAUGACUCCAAGGAGGCUACCAGCGGUGGAAGGCGAGCACGUGCACACACACAGACAGCCAUGACCCAUGGACUCUGCCCUCCCUCCUGCUCACAUCUGACGUACUUUGCCCUCUUUGACUCCCAGCCUGGGAAAGCAACAGACCGAGGAGAAAGACGGACAGAAGUUAGAAAGGGGAGCUCAGCCACAGAAAAGCAAGGCAGAAAAACCUUUUAGAAGCGGCAAUUGCAACGUGAUGACAGGCUGGUGGAAUGGAAUUAGCGGAGAGGAGGGCUCUGCUCACGUCCCCCUCUCCUUGAACUGCCGUGUGAUGAGAAAGAAGCCAAAAGAGACAUUUUGUAGGGAACUUUGGCACAAGUGACUCUCCUGCAACAAGGGCGAGAGACUGAAAUAAUCAACAUUUUCUGCAGAGCAGAAAUGCAAACAUUCAAAUUCACAUUUUAACUGACAGUUUCAGUCAAAAUACAUCAGCCUGACGCUCUUCAAUUAGAAGAGAUUCACAGACUCCUUUCAUUGCAUAGCCUGCAGUCCCAGACCAGAUUAUACAGCCACGCUUCCAUAGCUUGCAUUUCCUGUAAGUCAGCAAGGCUCCUGCUGCAUUCCCCAGUUGAUUGCAAGGACUGGCUUAGCAGCAAGCUUAUCCCAAUGAAAAGAAUCAAGGCAACACAACUGCAAGGCUGGGGGAACACCUCCUUGCCUCCAUGUGGGCUCUGAACUUUUCAGAGCCAGAACGUUGCGCGUUGCAAAACCUUCCCAAGUGAGCAUACCCUGAUGCUUUGCGUGCUGCUGUGAUGCUCCCAGUAGCCACAAUGCUUGCGGGCUGCAGGCAGAAGCUCAGCGGCUCUGCUGGCACAAAUUAGCGGAGCUGAAACUUUAGAUCAGUGACAGAGUCUGCCUCCUGGGAGCAGUAAAUUGCAGUGCUGGUCCCCAAAGACCCUCCUUGCCAUUAAGUGAUUAAUGAAUUCAUUAACACCUCUAAGAACACAGGAAAUAUGACACAGACAGCCUGCCUAGGCUUUGCAAAGGAUUUUUUUCAUCCUUUUUUGGAACUGCAGAGAAUAGCAACUAAUUAAGCUAUAGGGCCCGUAGCAGCACUACUAUGUUUAUCCUUUGGGGGCAAGCAGAGUGGUGAGAUUCUCUGUCUCGUGCUCUGAUAUGCUUUUAUUUGACCCAUAAUGAAAUGCUAAAAGAAGGGGUUAUUGCUAAAAGAAGGGGUUAUUGCUAUUAUAAACCCCUCCCUUUGAAAGAUGAGGGGGAAUAAAAGACAUUUACUGCAAUGGUUUUAAAUGGGCAGCCCAGGGUGGUGGUUGAGACCCAUCCCUGGAGGUGUUCAAGAAACGUCUAGACGUUGUACUGAGGGACAUGGUUUAGUGGGGAAAUACUGGGGGUAGGUGAGUGGUUGGACUGGAUGAUUUCGGAGGUCUUUUCCAACCUUGGUGAUUCUGUGAUUCUAUGAAUCACAGCAUUCCCAGUUCAAGAGUGGAAUGGUCCCAGGGGAAAACUGGAGGUAACUGUCAAGGCAAGGACGGGGAGAACUGUACAAUUGUCUCUUCAAUCCCUAAGAGAUUCCUUAAUUCUUGCCCUCGAGACCACUCCAGUGACAACCUUAUUUACUAAACAUAAUACAACCAGCAGACUGGACACAUGGGUUAGAGAGUGUGCUGGACUUGUGUCUGACACUUGCAUCAAAGCAAGGCACAAGGUUAUUUCUCAGAGCUCCUGGCACUGCAAAGCAGCUGACAAGGCAACCCUUCCCUGCACAGAGAUGACAUGCACCCUGGAUGGGCUUCCAGAUCUGGUUUCCUGCUGAGCCCAUGGUCUAGCCCCAUCAAAAGGUCCCACCUGCAGCCAGGUAAGGUGAGCUGUCCUGUGAAGGAAGGGACACAUACAUUGCCCACUCUCAGGGGACAAAUCUUUAUCUUGGGCUUGCUUGCUUGCAUCUACAGGCUCUACUGCUAUGGAGAAGAUGAGAUUCAUCUCUACAGCCACCAAUAACUGCAGAAAGUCCUCUCCAUAACUCAACCAUUACAACUCUCCUUCAACCCCAAAUGGCACCCAAUGGCUUGCGCCAUGGCUUUUAGCAUCCUGUGAGAACUACUUUGAAAAUAUGGGCUUGUGCUGCAUGACCACUCACUUCUGGCAUGGGGAGCCACACCAGCCUAAGGGGACAUGAAAUGCCUUGUAUGCAAGUGUUUGCAUUACUUCAGCAUGAACAGAGUGGUGGAGAACCACCGUGUGCACCUGCUGUGGGCAGCUAUUGGGACUUCAGGAGGUUUGAAAUUGUAGAGAAUCAAGCCCAAAAGACAACUCACUUUCAAAGAUGGAUAGUAAAUUGCAGGGAGUUCAGAGAAAGCCACUAGGAAGAUUAAAGGGCAGGAGGUAUUGAUUUACGUAGGAAGAUCAAAAGAGCUAUAUUUGUAUACAGUAGUUUAGCUAAGUGAUGACUACGUGUUUAAAGGGAAGAGUUUGAAGGACAUAAACCAAAUGAGGCACCAUUAGAGUGAGUGCAGUGAAGAGAAUUUAACAGGAGUAAUAGAAUGAAAGAAAAGGAGGGGGGGGGGAAGGGAAAUCUCAGCUGCAUGCCUGCUGAUGCUUCUUGGCAGGACAUUGUUGACAGUACCACUGACACAGAAGUUUGGCAAACCAAUGUCCCAGGGCAUUUCAGGGCCCAUCCUGCACUUUGUUGCUUGCCCAUUGCACCUCCUCUGCCAAUGCAGCCUGCACCACACCACAGCACCUGGGGAGGAUCUCAGGUUAGCUCCAACCAUCCCAGCACAAGCACUGCCCUUCAGCAUGGGGACACUGAGAGAUCUUGGACAAAUUCUGAACCAUGGGAGCCCUGUGACUGCUCCACCUUCUUCUAAUCAUAGAAUCACAGAAUCAUUAAAGUUGGAAAAGACCUCUAAGAUCCCCAAAUCCAACCCCAGCCCAUCCCACCAUGCCCACUGCUCACGUCCCUCAGCGUCGCAUCUCCACUGUUCUUGAACUCCUCCAGGGACAGUGACUCCACUACCUCCCGGGGCAGUCUGUUUCAACAAAGCCCAGAACAAAGCAGCUACAUGUCUUAAAUCCACUUCUGGGUGCUCCACUGUCCUGCUCCUUGCACAAGGCCUACAGAUCUCAUCUCCAGAUUUUAAGCUCGUUUAAACAUUAUUGGAGCUACUGCUUCUUGUCUGGACCUAGUGUUUGCAAAGCAUUAACCUGAACACGGCACAAAACCUGACCCAUCUGCAUGAUCUGGUGGCAUACCAGCUUGCAAGGGACCUGCUGCCUCACCCCACUCUCGCACUGCCCUCUCCUAACUGAGAGAUGCCACAUUUGCAGAAAUAGGGCUGGGACCACAUCCAGAAAACCCAAAACUAUAUUUUUCCUUGAGAUAAUUCAGACUUGAGAAAAAGUUAGCUGAAUUGACUACAAAGUGACCUACCUCAGCUUCCCUCUAUGGGCUCACACUGACAGAUGUCUCACCAUUGCUUCCAAGAAGAGCAGAGCCAGGAGCAUUCUGGAGACCAACACCUUGGAAAGAGUCCAUGGAGAGGAACACAGGACAGGCAGGAUGCACGUCCUUCCCUUCCUGAGGGAGUCUGAGGCUAAGCCCCAUGCUGUAAAGACACAAGAGUGUGCAGGACGUGAGCUGGGAAGGACCUGGAGGCCAGAUGUGUCGUUGGACAUAGAUGCAGCUGGAUUUUUAAGCUAUCUCAUAGCUUGUUAUCUGCUUACUGUGCUAAAAGCUGCAGCUGACCAUUGUAGCAACACAUAACCAACCCCUAAGA